AGGAAUAUUGGUCAAUGGACGAGAGUCUGAACCAGCCAAGUAGCGUGCAGGAAGACGGCCCUAUGGGUUGUAAACUGCUUUUAUAAGGGAAUAAAGUUAGUCUCGUGAGACUUUUUGCAUGUACCUUAUGAAUAAGGACCGGCUAAUUCCGUGCCAGCAGCCGCGGUAAUACGGAAGGUCCGGGCGUUAUCCGGAUUUAUUGGGUUUAAAGGGAGCGUAGGCCGGAGAUUAAGCGUGUUGUGAAAUGUAGACGCUCAACGUCUGCACUGCAGCGCGAACUGGUUUCCUUGAGUACGCACAAAGUGGGCGGAAUUCGUGGUGUAGCGGUGAAAUGCUUAGAUAUCACGAAGAACUCCGAUUGCGAAGGCAGCUCACUGGAGCGCAACUGACGCUGAAGCUCGAAAGUGCGGGUAUCGAACAGGAUUAGAUACCCUGGUAGUCCGCACGGUAAACGAUGGAUGCCCGCUGUUGGUCUGAAUAGGUCAGCGGCCAAGCGAAAGCAUUAAGCAUCCCACCUGGGGAGUACGCCGGCAACGGUGAAACUCAAAGGAAUUGACGGGGGCCCGCACAAGCGGAGGAACAUGUGGUUUAAUUCGAUGAUACGCGAGGAACCUUACCCGGGCUUGAAUUGCAGAGGAAGGAUUUGGAGACAAUGACGCCCUUCGGGGCCUCUGUGAAGGUGCUGCAUGGUUGUCGUCAGCUCGUGCCGUGAGGUGUCGGCUUAAGUGCCAUAACGAGCGCAACCCCUCUCCUUAGUUGCCAUCAGGUCAUGCUGGGCACUCUGGGGACACUGCCACCGUAAGGUGUGAGGAAGGUGGGGAUGACGUCAAAUCAGCACGGCCCUUACGUCCGGGGCUACACACGUGUUACAAUGGCAGGUACAGAGAGACGGUCCCUUGCAAAAUGGAUCAAAUCCUUAAAGCCUGUCUCAGUUCGGACUGGGGUCUGCAACCCGACCCCACGAAGCUGGAUUCGCUAGUAAUCGCGGAUCAGCAUGCCGCGGUGAAUACGUUCCCG
RNAcentral lists this ribosomal RNA (1017 nucleotides) under uncultured bacterium. Its description in RNAcentral is "bacterial SSU rRNA". It matches the Rfam family "Bacterial small subunit ribosomal RNA", at positions 357 to 1376 of the family's 1533-position model. The record is from RNAcentral.